GCCCCGCCGUAAACUUAGAUAUUCCAGUACAAUAAAUAUCCGCCAGGGGACUACGAGCGCCAGCUUAAAACCCAAAGGACUUGGCGGUGCUUCAGACCCCCCUAGAGGAGCCUGUUCUAGAACCGAUAACCCCCGUUCAACCUCACUACUCCUUGCUUUUCCCGCCUAUAUACCACCGUCGCCAGCUUACCCUGUGAAGGUACUACAGUAAGCAGAAUGAGUAAUACUCAAAACGUCAGGUCGAGGUGUAGCGUACGAAGUAGGAAGAAAUGGGCUACAUUAUCUGAUCCAGAUUAUUCACGGAAGGUUGCCUGAAAGGACAACCCGAAGGUGGAUUUAGCAGUAAAGGGGGAAUAGAGUGCCCCCUUGAAGCCGGCUCUGAAGCGCGCACACACCGCCCGUCACUCUCCCCAACAACGCCUACACCAAAGUAAGUUAACACAAUAUCAGUCACAAGGGGAGGCAAGUCGUAACAUGGUAAGUGUACCGGAAGGUGCACUUGGAAUAAU
RNAcentral lists this ribosomal RNA (509 nucleotides) under Brevoortia tyrannus (Atlantic menhaden). RNAcentral describes it as "partial 12S ribosomal RNA". It matches the Rfam family "Bacterial small subunit ribosomal RNA", at positions 794 to 1533 of the family's 1533-position model. Lineage: Eukaryota; Metazoa; Chordata; Actinopteri; Clupeiformes; Clupeidae. The record is from RNAcentral.